CCUACGGGGUGCUGCAGUGGGGAAUAUUGCACAAUGGGCGAAAGCCUGAUGCAGCAACGCCGCGUGAAGGAAGACGGUUCUCGGAUUGUAAACUUUCGUUUUUCGUGAAGAAUAAUGACGGUAACUUAGGAGCAAGCCACGGCUAACUACGUGCCAGCAGCCGCGGUCAUACGGAGGUGGCAAGCGUUGUCCGGAAUUACUGGGUGUAAUGGGAGUGUAGGGGGGAAGCCAAGUCAGCUGUGAAAAUUUCGGGCUUAACCUGUAGAGUGCAGUCGAAACCGGCUUUCUUGAGUGAAGUAGAGGGAGGCGGAAUGCGGGGUGUAGCGGUGAAAUGCAUAGAUAUUACGAAGAACACCGAUGGCGAAGGCAGCAAACUGGGCUUUAGCUGACGCUGAGGCUCGAAAGUGUGGGGAGCAAACAGGAUUAGAUACCCUUGUAGUC
This 441-nucleotide ribosomal RNA is filed under the name uncultured bacterium. RNAcentral's name for it is "partial 16S ribosomal RNA". It matches the Rfam family "Bacterial small subunit ribosomal RNA", at positions 338 to 795 of the family's 1533-position model. The record is from RNAcentral.